Molecule: ribosomal RNA, 760 nt
Filed under: uncultured Glomus
Lineage: Eukaryota; Fungi; Glomeromycota; Glomeromycetes; Glomerales; Glomeraceae
Description: eukaryotic LSU rRNA
Rfam family: Eukaryotic large subunit ribosomal RNA
Source: RNAcentral
GCAUAUCAAUAAGCGGAGGAAAAGAAAAUAACAAUGAUUCCCCUAGUAACUGCGAGUGAAGAGGGAUAAGCUCAAAUUUUAAAUCUGUUAGGUUUUACCUGACCGAGUUGUAAUUUGAAGAAACGUUUUCGCGUGUGCUUGAUCGGCCCAAGUCCUUUGGGAUGAGGCAUCACGGAGGGUGAUAAUCCCGUACGGCUGUCAUUGCACGUAUACGAUACGUUUUCAAAGAGUCAAGUUGUUUGGGAUUGCAGCUUAAAAUGGGAGGUAAAUUUCUCCUAAGGCUAAAUAUUGGCGAGAGACCGAUAGCGAACAAGUACCGUGAGGGAAAGAUGAAAAGCACUUUGAAAAGAGAGUUAAAUAGUACGUGAAAUUGUUGAAAGGGAAACGAUUGAAGCCAGUCGUACCGACGGAGAAUCAGCUUUUGGAGUGCGUGAUGCGGGUAUUCGAGGAGUUUAAAAGCCCUCUUGUGCUUGCAGUUGCAUGCUACUGGAGCGCACUUCUUCGUAUUGGUAGGUUAACAUCAAUUUUGGACGUUAUAAAAUGACUGAAGGAAUGUAGCUUCGAUUUUUCGAAGUGUUAUAGCCUUUGGUAAAUGUGACGACCGGGAUUGAGGAUUGCAACGAAUGCUUUUUGGCUAUCCGUCUGGCCUCUGAUGGUUUCUUUGGGGUCGAAAGCGUGCUUACGGCUUCAAAGCUGGCUGUCAAAAGGUUAGAACGCGAUUAAAUUCGUUAAGGAUGUUGACGUAAUGGCUUUAAACGAC